UUUCCAGACUCCUACGGGAGGCAGCAGUGAGGAAUAUUGGUCAAUGGGCGCGAGCCUGAACCAGCCAAGUCGCGUGAGGGAAGACGGUCCUAUGGAUUGUAAACCUCUUUUGUCGGGGAGCAAAAGACGCCACGCGUGGCGUUCCGAGAGUACCCGAAGAAAAAGCAUCGGCUAACUCCGUGCCAGCAGCCGCGGUAAUACGGAGGAUGCGAGCGUUAUCCGGAUUUAUUGGGUUUAAAGGGUGCGCAGGCGGAGGUGCAAGUCAGCGGUCAAAUUGCGGGGCUCAACCCCGUACUGCCGUUGAAACUGGCAGUCUCGAGUUGGAGAGAAGUAUGCGGAAUGCGCGGUGUAGCGGUGAAAUGCAUAGAUAUCACGCAGAACUCCGAUUGCGAAGGCAGCAUACCGGCGCUCAACUGACGCUGAAGCACGAAGGCGUGGGUAUCGAACAGGAUUAGAUACCCGUGUA
Molecule: ribosomal RNA, 466 nt
Filed under: uncultured bacterium
Lineage: Bacteria
Description: bacterial SSU rRNA
Rfam family: Bacterial small subunit ribosomal RNA
Source: RNAcentral